CUGGCUCAGGACGAACGCUGGCGGCGUGCCUAAUACAUGCAAGUCGAGCGAACUUGAUGGGAGCUUGCUCCCUGAAAGUUAGCGGCGGACGGGUGAGUAACUCGUGGGUAACCUGCCUGUAAGACUGGGAUAACNUCCGGGAAACCGGGGCUAAUACCGGAUAACUUUUUUCUUCGCAUGAAGGAGAAUUGAAAGAUGGCUCCGGCUAUCACUUACAGAUGGACCCGCGGCGCAUUAGCUAGUUGGUGAGGUAACGGCUCACCAAGGCGACGAUGCGUAGCCGACUUGAGAGGGUGAUCGGCCACACUGGGACUGAGACACGGCCCAGACUCCUACGGGAGGCAGCAGUAGGGAAUCUUCCGCAAUGGACGAAAGUCUGACGGAGCAACGCCGCGUGAGUGAUGAAGGUUUUCGGAUCGUAAAACUCUGUUGUUAGGGAAGAACAAGUAUCGUUCGAAUAGGGCGGUACCUUGACGGUACCUAACCAGAAAGCCACGGCUAACUACAUGCCAGCAGCCGCGGUAAUACGUAGGUGGCAAGCGUUGUCCGGAAUUAUUGGGCGUAAAGCGGCGCGCAGGCCGGUUUCUUAAGUCUGAUGUGAAAGCCCCACGGCUCAACCGUGGGAGGGGUCAGUGGAAACUGGGAGACUUGAGUGCAGAAGAGAAGAGCGGAAUUCCACGUGUAGCGGUGAAAUGCGUAGAGAUGUGGAGGAACACCAGUGGCGAAGGCGGCUCUUUGGUCUGUAACUGACGCUGAGGCGCGAAAGCGUGGGGAGCGAACAGGAUUAGAUACCCUGGUAGUCCACGCCGUAAACGAUGAGUGCUAAGUGUUAGAGGGUUUCCGCCCUUUAGUGCUGCAGCUAACGCAUUAAGCACUCCGCCUGGGGAGUACGGCCGCAAGGCUGAAACUCAAAGGAAUUGACGGGGGCCCGCACAAGCGGUGGAGCAUGUGGUUUAAUUCGAAGCAACGCGAAGAACCUUACCAGGUCUUGACAUCCUCUUGCCCUCCCUAGAGAUAGGGAUUUCCCUUCGGGGACAAGAGUGACAGGUGGUGCAUGGUUGUCGUCAGCUCGUGUCGUGAGAUGUUGGGUUAAGUCCCGCAACGAGCGCAA
RNAcentral lists this ribosomal RNA (1111 nucleotides) under uncultured Bacillus sp. RNAcentral describes it as "bacterial SSU rRNA". It matches the Rfam family "Bacterial small subunit ribosomal RNA", at positions 19 to 1101 of the family's 1533-position model. The record is from RNAcentral. Lineage: Bacteria; Bacillati; Bacillota; Bacilli; Caryophanales; Bacillaceae.